This 492-nucleotide ribosomal RNA is filed under the name uncultured bacterium. RNAcentral describes it as "partial 16S ribosomal RNA". It matches the Rfam family "Bacterial small subunit ribosomal RNA", at positions 29 to 507 of the family's 1533-position model. The record is from RNAcentral.
AGUGAACGCUGGCGGUAGGCCUAACACAUGCAAGUCGAACGGCAGCACAGUAAGAGCUUGCUCUUACGGGUGGCGAGUGGCGGACGGGUGAGGAAUACAUCGGAAUCUACUUUUUCGUGGGGGAUAACGUAGGGAAACUUACGCUAAUACCGCAUACGACCUACGGGUGAAAGCAGGGGAGCUUCGGACCUUGCGCGAUUGAUUGAGCCGAUGUCGGAUUAGCUAGUUGGCGGGGUAAAGGCCCACCAAGGCGACGAUCCGUAGCUGGUCUGAGAGGAUGAUCAGCCACACUGGAACUGAGACACGGUCCAGACUCCUACGGGAGGCAGCAGUGGGGAAUAUUGGACAAUGGGCGAAAGCCUGAUCCAGUCAUACCGCGUGGGUGAAGAAGGCCUUCGGGUUGUAAAGCCCUUUUGUUGGGAAAGAAAAGCAGCAGGUUAAUACCCCGCUGUUCUGACGGUACCCAAAGAAUAAGCACCGGCUAACUUCGUG